UACUAUGUAAAGUUGGCAACAAAAUAUCUGCACAUAAUCAAGAAAUGGUCCAGGGUGUGGAGAAAGGUCCCAUGUAACACCUAUAUAGAUCUAGGCAUUAGAGCCUGAGGCAUCCCACUUACUUAUAAGUUAACAACAUUUUCAGUCAUGAUGGUGAAUGUGAUAGGACUAUGUGUCUUUUGCUUACAACUGGUCAGUGCUAUGGACACAUGUGAUCCAAAUAUACCGUCUAGACCCAUGCCAUCACCGCAACCGAAAAUGGCUCGUCUAAUGUCCACCGCAGAGGUCCACUGUGGCCCUGGCCAAUUCCGAAACGAGUCCACAGGAAGCUGUCAAUCAUGUCCGGCCAAGCACUUUAUGACUCUACUGAUGAGUUCUGAAAACUACCAGAGUUGCGAGACAUGUUUAGAGCCAGGCGACGGUGAAAUUGAGGUACGACCUUGUAAUGCCACCAGAGACACUGAGAUUCUCUGCAAGACUGGUCUAUAUCGAUAUGAGGUGCCCAAUGACAGAUGCCACUGGACAUGUCAGCGCUGCGAUGUGUGUGGUUGGGCUAAACAGCUCGACCGCAAUUACGUAGCUCGAAGCUGUGGUAACUACACGAACACUGUAUGCUGCCCUGAUGAGGACAUGAUCGCACGGGAAGGAGAAUGCGUCGGAAAGGUGACAAGCACUGCACUGCCCAACACGUCUUCGCCCAAAGACAUCAUUCACCAGAAUACUCAAGGAAGCAGCUCGUAUAACUUACUGAUUUCCAAAAUAUACUUCAUUAUGUUGUUUUGUUUCACUUUUGUACUUUAUAUAAAAUAAACUUUUCCAUUGACAAGAGUACUAUCCCUUUAGCUGGACCUCACACUCCUGAGAAAUGUUUUUUUUUUAUGUUUAAACUUUUCUAAUGUCACAGUCCUUAACAUACCUGACUGUUGCCCAUUCAUGUACUAUAUUAAAGUGAUUAUUGAAAGGAACUCUGAUGAUUCCAAUAGGCUGAAAAGUAGUAGUAGAUCAAUAUUUAAAUCAACAUCUUAUGAUUGUUUAGCACAUUCUGACAUACUGACUAGUCUGUAGUUGAUUAAUUUAGUCUUCCCUCUGUACAUGUUUCAAUAGCUAAUUCUGUCAUACUCAGAGUUUGUACUUUGUCUUUUUGACACUAAUUUGAUAUUAGAGAUGUAGAAUAAUCAAUUUCAUUUGAUUUUGUUUUUCUUUGAUGCAAAACUAAAAAUUGUAAAAAAUUUUGUUGUAAGUUUUUUUUUAAUUGGCAACAUCAGACAUUUUUUGUUCACCUGACCAUCUCACAUUGCAUCUUGUAUAGCCAUUUGAAUCAGAAGAAACACAGAGGCAGCAAUCAUUUCUUGUCACACGGAGAGAACAAGUCCUAUGCAAAUGUUAAAAUAUCAAUUCUUACUUUAUGUUUAGAUAACAUUGUCAAAUAAACACAUAUCAACAUACAUCAACACAACAACAUUGUAAAAUAAACACAUAACAUACACAUACUUAAAGUUAAAAAGGAAUAUAUCAGAUGUUUGGUUUAGUACCGUGUUUUUUUAAUUUAGAACUCGAGCCGUAAAUACAUUUUUUAAAAGCUUAUGCCAACUCACUCUGUCUUGUAUAUUUUGCUUGUUUGUAAUUCAAUAAGCAAUGAACAAGAGUUUUAUAAUUAAAAUCUUAAUUGUUUUUGACACUGUUUAUUAAGUUUACACCCUUCCUUUAGACUAUUUACAAUUAAAUUCUUCCGCGCCAUUCGGCUCAUUGGGCGGCAAGCGGUCUCUACAAAAAUCUGCCACUGGUAAUGUCUGAAGCCUCUUACCACAUGCUGUCCACUGCUCUGGAGGUCCUCCAUGAAGGUGUGACGCCAAGUUAUACGAAGUUAUCCUUGUUUGCGCUUUCCUCGUAUCGGCCUCCAUGUCAUCGCAACUCUUGAUAUGCAUAAUUCAUUUUGUCGGAGAACAUGUCCCGCAAACCUCACUCGACGCUCUGUCACAACCUUAUUAAGUGGUAGACUCCCAGUUUAGCAUAGGACCUCCUAGUCUGAAACCCGAUCUCUAUUAUUGACUCCUUAAGUCUGUCAUAGCCAUUUUUUGUUGAGCCAAACUUUCUCUUUCUCAAAUUUGGCAGAAGUCUCGCAUGUAUAAGUAGCUGUUGGGAUGGAGAAUGUAUUGAGUAAGUGUAUUAAUGUAUUGAGUAAGUGUAUUAUUGUCUUAAGUUCAUUAGCUUGUCCAAAUAGAAUGCAGCCUUUGUAAAAAGCUCCCUGUGUUUCCUAUUGUGCGCGCUGCGUCACGAUACAAUCCCCAGAGUUUGUAAUGAUGCUGCCAAGUUGUGAACUUGUUGGUUGGACGUUCCUUCAGACCUGAAGAUUAUUCAUUCUUGCCCAAAACUCCAACACGUCGUCAGGGAACGAAGGCGUUCAGGGUUCCAAACCGGGACCAUCGUAGUGAUAACCCGAAGCGCACACCACAUGACCCAGUGGCGUAGAUAGAAAUUUGGGGGCACUGGGGGGGGCGUGACCUCUUUUGGGGCCCCUGCAUUUUGACAAAUAUCGAACUCUCAUUUGGGGGAGAACUCAAAUGGGGGCCCAGUGGGGAUUUUCGAAAUGUACCCUCUGUCCCCUCUAGCUACGCCACUGACAUGACCAUGUGAUUAUAUAUGCUUAGGUAAUCAUGUCACGACUGUUAUUGCAUUACGUGAAAACUGCUUAACUUUAAAAACCACGUGAUUAUUUCUAGUUCACUUUCUUUAUUGUAAAAUAAUAGAAUAAAUGAUACAUUUGUUACUGCAGAAUUCAUGAAAUGUUGUGCCCUGAAAUUAUUUCUAACCAAUUUUUUUUUUGUAACAUAAAUUAGAAAAUUAUUUUCUUUUCUUUGGCAUGUAGGCUAUUACACCAUGAAAACAAUUUCAAAGCAUUGUAUUUGUUAGAAGUAUUAUUGCACAAUCUUUUUUUUUGUAUUUGCAAUAGAACUAUAGUAUAGAACUAUUCAUUGUAUUUGAAUAGAUAUAGGACUAUUUGAGACACCUCGAAUUCCCCUAGCAUGCAGCCUAGAGGAUUUUUUAAAAAUGUUAAAAACUGUAACUUUUGUUGUCUAGUCUUUUUAAACAUUGCGUAGUGUUUACGUCCAUUGAUACAGGUGCUUUCAUAAACAUAAUUUGUGACAAAAAACAUCUGAGAGUAAUGUUAAGUGUAAAAGACAUGAUCGUUCUUGUUGUCUUAGUGUUAGCCAGAUAGUGCAAAACAUUGUUAGCUUUAUAGCAACAGGCUAUACGGUUGAAAGUAUCAAAGACAAGUGACUAUAUCAGACAUGCGUAAUUAAAACUGGAGCCUACCAUGAUGUUAACAGAACAUAACAUUUUCUAUGCAAAUGUGGAACAAAAAUAUGUAAUUUGAAAAUUAGUUUUCAACCAUGUCCAUGUUCCAGGGGAACUUUACUUUACUAUGUCUCCAUAAUAUAUCAUUUUCUUAUUUAUGUUGUCGUUUAGUUUGUCUGCCCUUAGAAUGUCCACAGUUUAAUUAGUUCAGAGUUUGAAUGUCUCACGGUUAAAAGGCCCACCUAUUUUAAUAAUCCACAAUUUAAAUAUCCCUUUUUGAAUGGACUACUUUGAAUUGUCCCCAACUGAAAUGUUCUUCAAAUGUCUUUUAUUUUUACCUUUUUUUUUAACGUUUGUCUAAUAGAUGUCGAUGUAUCUCGUUUGUAUCUGCCCAAGUGAGAUAUCUAAUAGAUGUCGGUGUAUCUCGUUUGUAUCUGCCCAAGUGAGUUAUCUAAUAGAUGUCGGUGUAUCUCGUUUGUACAAUAGGGUACUCGAUAUGUCAGGUCUUUCCCUUUUUUUAUUUUUGAAAAAACAAAACAAAUUGAAAUACCAUUUAAACAAAAGAAUGUCAGAGAAAAGAGGAACAAAGAUAGUACUACUCUAUACUGACAAAAAUCGAAAGGCAGGGCCCCCAAAUUCAGACCAGGCAUCCUAUGGCUUGAUGAUGCAGAGGCAGAUGUACCGAUAAGAGUUCGGGCUUGGAGACGAAAAGCACUUGUUAGAUCUGAAUGGAAAGAUGUGUUGCAGCAGGCCAGAGCCCUCCAUGGGCUAUAGUGAUACUGGGAUAGAUAUUUGAAAAGAAGAGCGUUUUUUAUUUUACAAAGCUGCGCAUCGAAUAGACCUAAGAUUUUGUUAUUUCAAUAAGUUGUAUGUGGAUUUUUACAAAUCUAAAAACUCACUGUAUCUGGUAAAAAGUAGAAGUUAUUUGUACCACACAUAUUCUCUGAUCAAGUUGAAACUUUACACAAUUAUUCAUUGACAUAGACAAGACAUGAACAAUAAAAAAAAAAAAUAACCAAUUAAUUGUUUGUUUGAUAUUGAAUAAGGGAAACAAUUUCUACAUUUUUAGAGCUGUAGUUGUAAGUGCGCAGAUCUUUCCCUUAGAUAAGCUUUUUUUUUUUUUAGAAAAUGAUUUUUGAAACUUUUGGCUUGUUUCGAAUGUCUGUCGGACUUACUUAUCUCAUUUAGUUGUAUGCCAAUAGUUUUAAUGGCAAUAGAAAUCUGUUUGUUGUCUGUUGAUCUUUUUAAUGUUUUUUUUUUGUAUACUUCAAAAUAUUUAUUGAGCAUCGGUUGGUCAGGGUAUCAAAUAUAUAUAUAAAUAGAUGUGCUAUUAAAUUCAUAUUGUUAAUGUAUUUCGUACAGCAUAUUAAUGAGACAUAAUUCAAAGCCCGAGUCUCUUUUUUUUUAAAAUACUGUGACCAGUCUUAGCAUUGAGAUGUGAGUUUCUUUUGUUUUUAAACAUUGUAACUUCUCUUAGCAUAGAGUUGUGAGUCUUUUUUUUUUUUUCUAAACAUUGUGACCAGUCAAAGCAUUGAGUUUCAAAUGUGAUGAAAUAAUGUAUAAUACAAAUAUCUUGCAGCUUUAAAAUACUGCUGAACUUGCAGAAUACAGAAAUUUAAUAA
Biomphalaria glabrata is the source of this 4919-nucleotide long non-coding RNA. RefSeq lists it as uncharacterized. The record is from RefSeq and is a predicted model, not a curated record. The transcript has 3 exons. Lineage: Eukaryota; Metazoa; Mollusca; Gastropoda; Planorbidae.